UAAAAAAAAAUAGACCAUUUCAUUAAAAUUUUCAAUCAUAUGGAUUUGUAAGUUUUUUUUUGAAGAAAAAAAAAUAUAUCUUAAUAUAAAAGCAUAUUAUAAUAAUGUAUUAAGUUAAUAAACAUAAUUGAUAAUCUGUUAAAUUUUAUACUAUAUAAUAAUUUGAGUUAAUAAUUGAUAUGUGUAUGCCACAUUAUAUAAAAAUAUUAAAUAUAUAUAUUUAAUAUUUAAUAUUAUAAUGGAUACCAUAAAUGUUUUUAUAAAGUUAUAUAAUAUAUAAAUUGAUAUAUUUAUAAUAAAAAUAAUUUUAUAAGUGCAAAAUACCUUAUUUAUAAAACAUCAUAAGGUUUUAUUAAAAGUAAAUAGUAAUUUUAUUUGUUUUUAAGAAAAUUGAAAUAUAUUUUAUAUUUAUAUUUAUAGGAUUUUAUUAUAAUACGUACAAAGUACACACUUAAAUAUGAACACAUGUAUUUUUAGUUAUAAUAUGUUAUUAUUAUAAAUAAUUAAUGAUGUAUGUACGGAAUUUAUAUAUUUGUAAUAUAAAUUUAUAAAAGAAAACAAUAGUACUUUAGUUUUUCUUUUUGUAUAUGAAGAAUAUGAAUAUGUAAUAUGAGUUUUUCAUUUUAUAUAUAUAAAUUAUUUAUCACACAUAAAACAAAAAUAAGAAAUUAUUAUUAUUGUAUAUAUUUUAUAUAACAUUAAUAUAUAUUAUUAUGUUUUUUUUAAAUAUAUAUAUAUAUAUAUAUAUAUAUAUAUAUAUAUAUAUAUUUUUAUAGAUAGAGACGGAGGUAACAUAUAUAUUUAUGAUAUAAAAUUAUAAAAUUAUGAUAAUAAAUAUAUUUUUUAUCUAUGCAUAAUAUACUUAAAUAUAUAUUUUGAGUUCUUCAUUUUGUAUAUAUAUAUUAUUCAUAGCACAAAAAAUGUACUUAUUAUUUAAUAUUUUAUAUAACCUUAUAAUAACUAUAUUUGUUCUCUUUCUAUAAAUAUAUAUAUAUAUAUAUAUAUAUAUAUAUAUAUAUAUAUAAGAAAAAUAUAUUAAUAUAUAUUAUAAAAUUAUAAAAUAUUCAAUUAUAAUAACUUUUUUUUUUUUUUUUUAUUGUGUUGUCUAUGAAUAAUAUAUAUAAAUAUACAUUUUGAGUUCUUCAUUCUGUAUAUAUAUAUUAUUCUUAGUACAUACAACAAAAGUGAAGCAAAAAGUAAAUUAUUUUAAUUAUUUUUUUCGAAUGUAAAAGAUUAUUACAAAUAUAUAUGUUGCAAAUAUUAUAAGUUUAUAUUAGAAUGUGAAUAAUUUAAUGAUUAUAAUAUAUAAUAUAUAUAGU
RNAcentral lists this non-coding RNA (1319 nucleotides) under Plasmodium falciparum (malaria parasite P. falciparum). The record is from RNAcentral. Lineage: Eukaryota; Apicomplexa; Aconoidasida; Haemosporida; Plasmodiidae.